UUUCCUUAAGUUCUCCUUUUAUGAAAAAAGCACAGACUCCACCCACGCUGUUUAAGCCCAGGUCUGAGCCAUGGGCUCUGCCCGGCUCACUGCUGUAGUCUCCCUGCAGGGAGGCAGAGAGAAACCCCGGCGAGCAGUGGCCCAGCUGACAGCGUCACUGCAGUAAGGGCAGAGUGACAGAGAAGGAAGAGGGAUAACACCUGCGGUGAAACUCACCACUCCGGGCUGAUCCCAGGAGGACUAUCUACUGGGUGGAGAACUCCCUGUGCCGUGCCGCAGAUUCAAAAGCAGAGGAAUUAUUUCAAGAUAAUGUCAAAAACUCAGUGGCAACGAUGAAUCGUGGAAGAUUUCUUUCAAUUUUGUCCGAAAUCUUUGCCUCUGCUGACGCCCAAGGAAAUGGUAAGGAUUCAGCAAAAUAACAGACGGAAAUUCUUAUCUGGCAAUUGUUCGCUUAAAAGCCAGU
RNAcentral lists this long non-coding RNA (463 nucleotides) under Struthio camelus australis. RNAcentral's name for it is "lncRNA (ENSSCUG00000006630.1)". The record is from RNAcentral. Lineage: Eukaryota; Metazoa; Chordata; Aves; Struthioniformes; Struthionidae.